AGGAGGAACAACCGCAGUGGCGGGGCCAGCUCUGGAGCCCUGGAGUCAGCUCCCCCAGUAGCUCCAGAGCUCUCCGUCUGCAGGGCCUGGAGGCUCCGGGGCGGG
Molecule: non-coding RNA, 105 nt
Organism: Canis lupus familiaris (dog)
Lineage: Eukaryota; Metazoa; Chordata; Mammalia; Carnivora; Canidae
Source: Rfam